This 465-nucleotide ribosomal RNA is filed under the name Vreelandella stevensii. RNAcentral describes it as "partial 16S ribosomal RNA". It matches the Rfam family "Bacterial small subunit ribosomal RNA", at positions 338 to 795 of the family's 1533-position model. Lineage: Bacteria; Pseudomonadati; Pseudomonadota; Gammaproteobacteria; Oceanospirillales; Halomonadaceae. The record is from RNAcentral.
CCUACGGGAGGCAGCAGUGGGGAAUAUUGGACAAUGGGGGGAACCCUGAUCCAGCCAUGCCGCGUGUGUGAAGAAGGCCCUCGGGUUGUAAAGCACUUUCAGUGAGGAAGAACGCCUGGUGGUUAAUACCCAUCAGGAAAGACAUCACUCACAGAAGAAGCACCGGCUAACUCCGUACCAGCAGCCGCGGUAAUACGGAGGGUGCGAGCGUUAAUCGGAAUUACUGGGCGUAAAGCGCGCGUAGGUGGCUUGAUAAGCCGGUUGUGAAAGCCCCGGGCUCAACCUGGGAACGGCAUCCGGAACUGUCAAGCUAGAGUGCAGGAGAGGAAGGUAGAAUUCCCGGUGUAGCGGUGAAAUGCGUAGAGAUCGGGAGGAAUACCAGUGGCGAAGGCGGCCUUCUGGACUGACACUGACACUGAGGUGCGAAAGCGUGGGUAGCAAACAGGAUUAGAUACCCCAGUAGUC